UUGAAAAGCUUUAUGCUGGUUUACUGUGUGUGUCAUUCUGUCAUAAAACAUAGUACAUUGAGUUCGAGAUAUCGUUUCAGUCGCCCCGAUACAGAUGGGCGAUUUGAUUCUUGCUCGAUAACAU
Molecule: non-coding RNA, 124 nt
Organism: Picea glauca (white spruce)
Lineage: Eukaryota; Viridiplantae; Streptophyta; Pinopsida; Pinales; Pinaceae
Source: Rfam